This 24-nucleotide non-coding RNA is filed under the name Arabidopsis thaliana (thale cress). The record is from RNAcentral. Lineage: Eukaryota; Viridiplantae; Streptophyta; Magnoliopsida; Brassicales; Brassicaceae.
UUAUAAUGGCGUCUCUGGCAGCUA